This 253-nucleotide ribosomal RNA is filed under the name uncultured bacterium. RNAcentral describes it as "partial 16S ribosomal RNA". It matches the Rfam family "Bacterial small subunit ribosomal RNA", at positions 524 to 776 of the family's 1533-position model. The record is from RNAcentral.
UACGGAGGGAGCUAGCGUUUUUCGGAAUUACUGGGCGUAAAGCGCGCGUAGGCGGCUUUGUAAGUUAGAGGUGAAAGCCCGGGGCUCAACUCCGGAACUGCCUUUAAAACUGCAUCGCUUGAAUCCGGGAGAGGUGAGUGGAAUUCCGAGUGUAGAGGUGAAAUUCGUAGAUAUUCGGAAGAACACCAGUGGCGAAGGCGGCUCACUGGACCGGUAUUGACGCUGAGGUGCGAAAGCGUGGGGAGCAAACAGG